RNAcentral lists this ribosomal RNA (253 nucleotides) under uncultured bacterium. RNAcentral's name for it is "partial 16S ribosomal RNA". It matches the Rfam family "Bacterial small subunit ribosomal RNA", at positions 524 to 776 of the family's 1533-position model. The record is from RNAcentral.
UACGAAGGGUGCAAGCGUUACUCGGAAUUACUGGGCGUAAAGCGUGCGUAGGUGGUUCGUUAAGUCAGGGGUGAAAGCCCCGGGCUCAACCUGGGAAUUGCAUUUGAGACUGAAUAGCUAGGGUGCGGAAGAGGGAAGCGGAAUUUCCGGUGUAGCGGUGAAAUGCGUAGAUAUCGGAAGGAACACCAGUGGCGAAAGCGGCUUCCUGGUCCAGCACCGACGUUCAGGCACGAAAGCGUGGGGAGCAAACAGG